GACGAACGCUGGCGGCGUGCUUAACACAUGCAAGUCGAACGGAAAGGCCCCCAUCUUGGUGGGGGUGCUCGAGUGGCGAACGGGUGAGUAACACGUGGGUGAUCUGCCCUGUACUUCGGGAUAAGCUUGGGAAACUGGGUCUAAUACCGGAUAGGACCAUGGUUUAGUGUCUCAUGGUGGAAAGAUUAUUGUUUUGGUGCAGGAUGAGCUCGCGGCCUAUCAGCUUGUUGGUGGGGUAAUGGCCUACCAAGGCGUCGACGGGAAGCCGGCCUGAGAGGGUGGACGGCCACAUUGGGACUGAGAUACGGCCCAGACUCCUACGGGAGGCAGCAGUGGGGAAUAUUGCACAAUGGGCGCAAGCCUGAUGCAGCGACGCCGCGUGGGGGAUGACGGCCUUCGGGUUGUAAACUCCUUUCGUUAGGGACGAAGCCACGCUUGUUGGGUGUGGUGACGGUACCUUUGUUAAGAAGCACCGGCUAACUACGUG
Molecule: ribosomal RNA, 487 nt
Filed under: uncultured bacterium
Lineage: Bacteria
Description: partial 16S ribosomal RNA
Rfam family: Bacterial small subunit ribosomal RNA
Source: RNAcentral